GGAAGUAAAGUCGUAACAAGGUCUCCGUUGGUGAACCAGCGGAGGGAUCAUUACCGAGUUAUACAACUCCCAAACCCACUGUGAACCUUACCUCAGUUGCCUCGGCGGGAACGCCCCGGCCGCCUGCCCCCGCGCCGGCGCCGGACCCAGGCGCCCGCCGCAGGGACCCCAAACUCUCUUGCAUUACGCCCAGCGGGCGGAAUUUCUUCUCUGAGUUGCACAAGCAAAAACAAAUGAAUCAAAACUUUCAACAACGGAUCUCUUGGUUCUGGCAUCGAUGAAGAACGCAGCGAAAUGCGAUAAGUAAUGUGAAUUGCAGAAUUCAGUGAAUCAUCGAAUCUUUGAACGCACAUUGCGCCCGCCAGCAUUCUGGCGGGCAUGCCUGUUCGAGCGUCAUUUCAACCCUCGAGCCCCCCCCGGGGGCCUCGGUGUUGGGGGACGGCACACCAGCCGCCCCCGAAAUGCAGUGGCGACCCCGCCGCAGCCUCCCCUGCGUAGUAGCACACACCUCGCACCGGAGCGCGGAGGCGGUCACGCCGUAAAACGCCCAACUUUCUUAGAGUUGACCUCGGAUCAGGUAGGAAUACCCGCUGAACUUAAGCAUAUCAAUAAGCGGAGGA
RNAcentral lists this ribosomal RNA (620 nucleotides) under Clavicipitaceae sp. Pa972. RNAcentral's name for it is "eukaryotic LSU rRNA". The stretch from base 243 to 396 matches the Rfam family "5.8S ribosomal RNA". Lineage: Eukaryota; Fungi; Ascomycota; Sordariomycetes; Hypocreales; Clavicipitaceae. The record is from RNAcentral.